This 499-nucleotide ribosomal RNA is filed under the name uncultured organism. RNAcentral describes it as "bacterial SSU rRNA". It matches the Rfam family "Bacterial small subunit ribosomal RNA", at positions 29 to 507 of the family's 1533-position model. The record is from RNAcentral.
AACGAACGUUGGCGGCGUGGAUGAGGCAUGCAAGUCGAACGCGAAAGCCGCAAGGUGAGUAGAGUGGCGGACGGGCGAGUAACACGUAAUCAAGCUGCCUGCGAGACGGGGAUAACCUCGGGAAACCGAGGCUAAGACCCGAUGGUUUGCGCGGAUCGCAUGGUCUGUGCAAUAAAUGGGCGGGAUCCUCCGGGAUCGCCUGCUCGCAGAGGUGAUUGCGGCCCAUCAGCUAGUUGGUAGGGUAACGGCCUACCAAGGCAACGACGGGUAGCCGGCCUUAGAGGGUGGUCGGCCGCACUGGGACUGAGACACUGCCCAGACUCCUACGGGAGGCUGCAGUCGAGAAUCUUCCGCAAUGGGCGAAAGCCUGACGGAGCGACGCCGCGUGGAGGACGAAGGCCUUCGGGUUGUAAACUCCUGUCACGAGUUAAGAAGGGGAUACGGCGAACAGCCGUGUACUUUGACGUAAGCUCGAGAGGAAGCACUGGCUAACUCUGUG